CGAACGGGUGAGUAAUAUAUCGGAACGUGCCCAGUAGUGGGGGAUAACUGCUCGAAAGAGCAGCUAAUACCGCAUACGACCUGAGGGUGAAAGGGGGGGAGUCGCAAGACCUCUCGCUAUUGGAGCGGCCGAUAUCAGAUUAGCUAGUUGGUGGGGUAAAGGCCUACCAAGGCAACGAUCUGUAGUUGGUCUGAGAGGACGACCAGCCACACUGGGACUGAGACACGGCCCAG
Molecule: ribosomal RNA, 233 nt
Filed under: uncultured bacterium
Lineage: Bacteria
Description: partial 16S ribosomal RNA
Rfam family: Bacterial small subunit ribosomal RNA
Source: RNAcentral